Molecule: ribosomal RNA, 445 nt
Filed under: uncultured Candidatus Solibacter sp.
Lineage: Bacteria; Pseudomonadati; Acidobacteriota; Terriglobia; Bryobacterales; Solibacteraceae
Description: bacterial SSU rRNA
Rfam family: Bacterial small subunit ribosomal RNA
Source: RNAcentral
CUCCUACGGGAGGCAGCAGUGGGGAAUCUUGCACAAUGGGGGAAACCCUGAUGCAGCGACGCCGCGUGAGCGAUGAAGCCCUUCGGGGUGUAAAGCUCUUUCGGCAGGGAAGAUGAUGACGGUACCUGCAGAAGCAGCUGCGGCUAACUACGUGCCAGCAGCCGCGGUAAUACGUAGGCAGCAAGCGUUGUUCGGAGUUACUGGGCGUAAAGGGUGUGUAGGCGGUCGAUCAAGUUUGGUGUGAAAUCUCCCGGCUCAACUGGGAGGGUGCGCCGAAUACUGAUGGACUCGAGUGCGGGAGAGGAAAGUGGAAUUCCUGGUGUAGCGGUGAAAUGCGUAGAUAUCAGGAGGAACACCGGUGGUGUAAACGGCUUUCUGGACCGUAACUGACGCUGAGACACGAAAGCGUGGGUAGCAAACAGGAUUAGAUACCCUAGUAGUCCCU